UGUGAGCUCGAUGAGUAGGGCGGGACACGUGGUAUCCUGUCUGAAUAUGGGGGGACCAUCCUCCAAGGCUAAAUACUCCUGACUGACCGAUAGUGAACCAGUACCGUGAGGGAAAGGCGAAAAGAACCCCGGCGAGGGGAGUGAAAAAGAACCUGAAACCGUGUACGUACAAGCAGUGGGAGCCUCUUAAUGGGGUGACUGCGUACCUUUUGUAUAAUGGGUCAGCGACUUAUAUUCUGUAGCAAGGUUAACCGAAUAGGGGAGCCGAAGGGAAACCGAGUCUUAACUGGGCGUUAAGUUGCAGGGUAUAGACCCGAAACCCGGUGAUCUAGCCAUGGGCAGGUUGAAGGUUGGGUAACACUAACUGGAGGACCGAACCGACUAAUGUUGAAAAAUUAGCGGAUGACUUGUGGCUGGGGGUGAAAGGCCAAUCAAACCGGGAGAUAGCUGGUUCUCCCCGAAAGCUAUUUAGGUAGCGCCUCGUGAAUUCAUCUCCGGGGGUAGAGCACUGUUUCGGCAAGGGGGUCAUCCCGACUUACCAACCCGAUGCAAACUGCGAAUACCGGAGAAUGUUAUCACGGGAGACACACGGCGGGUGCUAACGUCCGUCGUGAAGAGGGAAACAACCCAGACCGCCAGCUAAGGUCCCAAAGUCAUGGUUAAGUGGGAAACGAUGUGGGAAGGCCCAGACAGCCAGGAUGUUGGCUUAGAAGCAGCCAUCAUUUAAAGAAAGCGUAAUAGCUCACUGGUCGAGUCGGCCUGCGCGGAAGAUGUAACGGGGCUAAACCAUGCACCGAAGCUGCGGCAGCGACACUAUGUGUUGUUGGGUAGGGGAGCGUUCUGUAAGCCUGUGAAGGUGGCCUGUGAGGGUUGCUGGAGGUAUCAGAAGUGCGAAUGCUGACAUAAGUAACGAUAAAGCGGGUGAAAAGCCCGCUCGCCGGAAGACCAAGGGUUCCUGUCCAACGUUAAUCGGGGCAGGGUGAGUCGACCCCUAAGGCGAGGCCGAAAGGCGUAGUCGAUGGGAAACAGGUUAAUAUUCCUGUACUUGGUGUUACUGCGAAGGGGGGACGGAGAAGGCUAUGUUGGCCGGGCGACGGUUGUCCCGGUUUAAGCGUGUAGGCUGGUUUUCCAGGCAAAUCCGGAAAAUCAAGGCUGAGGCGUGAUGACGAGGCACUACGGUGCUGAAGUAACAAAUGCCCUGCUUCCAGGAAAAGCCUCUAAGCAUCAGGUAACAUCAAAUCGUACCCCAAACCGACACAGGUGGUCAGGUAGAGAAUACCAAGGCGCUUGAGAGAACUCGGGUGAAGGAACUAGGCAAAAUGGUGCCGUAACUUCGGGAGAAGGCACGCUGAUAUGUAGGUGAAGCGACUUGCUCGUGGAGCUGAAAUCAGUCGAAGAUACCAGCUGGCUGCAACUGUUUAUUAAAAACACAGCACUGUGCAAACACGAAAGUGGACGUAUACGGUGUGACGCCUGCCCGGUGCCGGAAGGUUAAUUGAUGGGGUUAGCGGUAACGCGAAGCUCUUGAUCGAAGCCCCGGUAAACGGCGGCCGUAACUAUAACGGUCCUAAGGUAGCGAAAUUCCUUGUCGGGUAAGUUCCGACCUGCACGAAUGGCGUAAUGAUGGCCAGGCUGUCUCCACCCGAGACUCAGUGAAAUUGAACUCGCUGUGAAGAUGCAGUGUACCCGCGGCAAGACGGAAAGACCCCGUGAACCUUUACUAUAGCUUGACACUGAACAUUGAGCCUUGAUGUGUAGGAUAGGUGGGAGGCUUUGAAGUGUGGACGCCAGUCUGCAUGGAGCCGACCUUGAAAUACCACCCUUUAAUGUUUGAUGUUCUAACGUUGGCCCGUAAUCCGGGUUGCGGACAGUGUCUGGUGGGUAGUUUGACUGGGGCGGUCUCCUCCUAAAGAGUAACGGAGGAGCACGAAGGUUGGCUAAUCCUGGUCGGACAUCAGGAGGUUAGUGCAAUGGCAUAAGCCAGCUUGACUGCGAGCGUGACGGCGCGAGCAGGUGCGAAAGCAGGUCAUAGUGAUCCGGUGGUUCUGAAUGGAAGGGCCAUCGCUCAACGGAUAAAAGGUACUCCGGGGAUAACAGGCUGAUACCGCCCAAGAGUUCAUAUCGACGGCGGUGUUUGGCACCUCGAUGUCGGCUCAUCACAUCCUGGGGCUGAAGUAGGUCCCAAGGGUAUGGCUGUUCGCCAUUUAAAGUGGUACGCGAGCUGGGUUUAGAACGUCGUGAGACAGUUCGGUCCCUAUCUGCCGUGGGCGCUGGAGAACUGAGGGGGGCUGCUCCUAGUACGAGAGGACCGGAGUGGACGCAUCACUGGUGUUCGGGUUGUCAUGCCAAUGGCACUGCCCGGUAGCUAAAUGCGGAAGAGAUAAGUGCUGAAAGCAUCUAAGCACGAAACUUGCCCCGAGAUGAGUUCUCCCUGACUCCUUGAGGGUCCUGAAGGAACGUUGAAGACGACGACGUUGAUAGGCCGGGUGUGUAAGCGCAGCGAUGCGUUGAGCUAACCGGUACUAAUGAACCGUGAGGCUUAACCUU
This 2547-nucleotide ribosomal RNA is filed under the name Escherichia coli. Its description in RNAcentral is "bacterial LSU rRNA". It matches the Rfam family "Bacterial large subunit ribosomal RNA", at positions 398 to 2925 of the family's 2925-position model. Lineage: Bacteria; Pseudomonadati; Pseudomonadota; Gammaproteobacteria; Enterobacterales; Enterobacteriaceae. The record is from RNAcentral.